Molecule: ribosomal RNA, 254 nt
Filed under: uncultured bacterium
Lineage: Bacteria
Description: partial 16S ribosomal RNA
Rfam family: Bacterial small subunit ribosomal RNA
Source: RNAcentral
UACGUAGGGUGCGAGCGUUAAUCGGAAUUACUGGGCGUAAAGCGUGCGCAGGCGGUUCGUUAAGUCAGCUGUGAAAGCCCCCGGGCUCAACCUGGGAAUUGCGGUUGAAACUGGCGAACUAGAAUCUGGCAGAGGGGGGUGGAAUUCCACGUGUAGCAGUGAAAUGCGUAGAGAUGUGGAGGAACACCGAUGGCGAAGGCAGCCCCCUGGGCUGAGAUUGACGCUCAGGCACGAAAGCGUGGGGAGCAAACAGG